Molecule: ribosomal RNA, 586 nt
Filed under: uncultured bacterium
Lineage: Bacteria
Description: bacterial SSU rRNA
Rfam family: Bacterial small subunit ribosomal RNA
Source: RNAcentral
CCUACGGGAGGCAGCAGUGGGGAAUAUUGGACAAUGGGGGCAACCCUGAUCCAGCAAUGCCGCGUGAAUGAUGAAGGCCUUAGGGUUGUAAAGUUCUUUUAUUGAUGACGAUAAUGACGGUAAUCAAUGAAUAAGCACCGGCUAACUUCGUGCCAGCAGCCGCGGUAAUACGAAGGGUGCUAGCGUUGUUCGGAAUGACUGGGCGUAAAGGGUGCGUAGGCGGCAAGAUGCGUCUGAUGUGAAAUCCCUGGGCUUAACCUAGGAACUGCAUUGGAUACGGUCUUACUAGAGUCCGCGAGAGGAAGGUGGAAUUGUGCGUGUAGAGGUGAAAUUCGUAGAUAUGCACAAGAACACCGGUGGCGAAGGCGAUCUUCUGGAGCGGUACUGACGCUAAGGCACGAAAGCGUGGGGAGCAAACAGGAUUAGAUACCCUGGUAGUCCACGCUGUAAACGAUGAUUAUUAGAUGUCGGGAGGGUUACCUUUCGGUAUCGCAGCUAACGCAUUAAAUAAUCCGCCUGGGGAUACGGUCGCAAGAUUAAAACUCAAAUGAUGAGNGNGAGAGNGCGAGACGACGACGAGGGAGAG